GACGAACGCUGGCGGCGUGCUUAACACGUGCAAGUCGAACGGAAAGGCCCUGCUUUUGUGGGGUGCUCGAGUGGCGAACGGGUGAGUAACACGUGAGUAGCCUGCCCUUGACUUUGGGAUAACUUCAGGAAACUGGGGCUAAUACCGGAUAGGAGCUCCUGCUGCAUGGUGGGGGUUGGAAAGUUUCGGCGGUUGGGGAUGGACUCGCGGCUUAUCAGCUUGUUGGUGGGGUAGUGGCUUACCAAGGCUUUGACGGGUAGCCGGCCUGAGAGGGUGACCGGCCACAUUGGUACUGAGAUACGGCCCAGACUCCUACGGGAGGCAGCAGUGGGGAAUAUUGCACAAUGGGCGGAAGCCUGAUGCAGCAACGCCGCGUGCGGGAUGACGGCCUUCGGGUUGUAAACCGCUUUCGCCUGUGACGAAGCGUGAGUGACGGUAAUGGGUAAAGAAGCACCGGCUAACUACGUG
Molecule: ribosomal RNA, 468 nt
Filed under: uncultured bacterium
Lineage: Bacteria
Description: partial 16S ribosomal RNA
Rfam family: Bacterial small subunit ribosomal RNA
Source: RNAcentral